Molecule: microRNA precursor, 74 nt
Filed under: Bombyx mori (domestic silkworm)
Lineage: Eukaryota; Metazoa; Arthropoda; Insecta; Lepidoptera; Bombycidae
Description: mir-2816 microRNA precursor family
Rfam family: mir-2816 microRNA precursor family
Source: Rfam by way of RNAcentral
CUCAACUGUCCUUGAGUGAGGUAGAGUCGCGUUAUUGCGUCACCACGAUAACAUCAGUUUGUGGAAAAUUUGAU